RNAcentral lists this long non-coding RNA (1067 nucleotides) under Monodelphis domestica (gray short-tailed opossum). Its description in RNAcentral is "lncRNA (ENSMODG00000046260.1)". The record is from RNAcentral. Lineage: Eukaryota; Metazoa; Chordata; Mammalia; Didelphimorphia; Didelphidae.
CCCAGGAGUGGUUAUAGGAGGAAUAGAACCAAGAGCAUGGUCAGAGGAAUGGGGGAAAUGAGCCAGGAAUUAAACACUGGUUAGAGAUGAUGUACAAAGGAGAUCCUUCAUCUAAAGAUUCAGAAAGUGCCCUCCAAAAUAGGGUAGCUAGCCCUUAUAUAAUACUUGAAGAUUUGCAAAGUGCUUCAGAAUUAUUAUCUCUUUGAUAUUUAGAAUAUUAGAUACUAAGUUUAUCAUUCUCAUUUUACACAUGAGGAAAUAGAGGUAGACAGGUGUGAAAUACCUUGCCCAGUUCUGAGCCUGGCUAGCCAUGCUGGAUUAUUGAAGGGUGGAUGAGCUGCUUGAAUUGUGAAGGGGAGGAUGGAUUUGGUAGUCCCCAACUCACCUAAACAUUUAAUUAUGCUUUUUUGGGAAUCAUAGCACCAGUCAUCUGGGAAAGACAAGGAGAAGACAGUGUCAGUUAAGGGAGGAAGUGAAUACAUGUAGGCCGCAUCAGAUUGGGGAGAAUGGGAAGUCUUCCAUGGUGCUACAAGUUCACAGCUCUCCUUCAUCUCUGAUUUCUACUCCUCUAAAUCCUUUGUUGGUUCCUCAUCUCCCUGUCAUUCCUUAAGUGUGAAUGUCCAUAAGGUUCUUUCCUUGAUCUUCCUCUUCCCUCACUGUACUGUCUCCCUUUGUGAUCUCAAUCAUCCUCAUAACUUCAAUUAUCUAUGAAAAUGAUACCCCAAAUUAUGUUUCCUUAGGACUCCUUUUCCAAUCUCCAGUAACCUGCUAGACAUUUCCAACUAGCUUCCUACUGAAAUCUCAAAUUAUAUCCAGUCCUAAACUUAUCGCUUUCUUUCCCUUUCUUCCCUUUUCUUCCCUCCCAGAGUCCUUUCUCUCUCCUGUUCCCUCACCAUCCCAUAUUCUUUUUUUCAUCCUCCCCAUUUGUUCUCCCUCUUUCCACCUCCCCUUCUUCAUUAUUCCCACUCUUUCUUCUCUUCUCUCUUUUCUUCUCUUCUUCCUCCUCCUCAUCUUGAUUCUUUUUCUUCUCCUCCUCUUUCUCCAACUCCUCCUCCCUUUCCUCCUUC